RNA transcript from Sorghum bicolor (sorghum), 6798 nucleotides. It is a transcript of the gene named serine/threonine-protein kinase prpf4B, with no coding region annotated. The record is from RefSeq and is a predicted model, not a curated record. Lineage: Eukaryota; Viridiplantae; Streptophyta; Magnoliopsida; Poales; Poaceae. The transcript is spliced from 14 exons.
CAUCGCAUCGCAUCGCAUCGGCAAUUCGGCAUCGCCGUCUAGCUCGCAGGGAGGAGAGAGGGGGAGCCUCUAACCCUAACCCUACCCGCCCCUGUCGCCAUCGCCAUGGCCGCCGGCGGAGAGCCCUCCCCCUCCCCCUCCGCCGUGUCCCCCGCAUCCCCCACCAAGCACUCUCGCUCGCCCGACGACACCCAGCCCGACGCAUCUCCGAAGCGCCGCAAGCGCCACCAUCACCACCGCCGCCACCACCACCACCGUCGGCACCGUCACGCCGAUUCCCCGGUACCCGUGGCAGCCGACGAAGAGGUAGAGGAGGGGGAGAUACUCGACGAUGCCGCCGCCGCCUCUGCCAUGGAGGUCGAUGCUGCGUCCGCCGCCCCACAGGCUUCCCUUGCUCCGAUGCAGGAGCACUUUGGUAAUGGUGCUGAUACAGACUCAAACACAGAUGCAACCGAGAUGCAAGCUCCUGCUCCGCCUACCUUUCCAUCCGCAAAAGAUGGAAGGAGGUCACUUGACGGUGCCCCUGAGUCUGAAAGCGGAGGUAUCCUUUCAAGUGAUGCUGAGAAUAACAAAGGGCAUGAACAAAAGCAAAGGCAAAGCCGUUCGAAAUCUCCAAAUCCCAGAAGGGAGAAGGAAAGGAGGCACACAGAUGAGCAUCACUCUUCAUCUUCAAAAGAUCAUUAUUCCAAAAAUCAUUCUAGAACAUCUCCUUACUCAAGGCAUCAAAGUGAAGCUCAUUCAAGAGAUCAGCACUUGAGAUCUAGAGAGAGAGGUGAUGACACUAAUGGUUCUCGUGCAAGUCUUAGGGAUGGUUCUAAUCGUGAGAGCCAUGAUCGGAAUGGGAAGUCUGGCAGACAUACGAUUAGGACCCAGGAGAGUGAAAGGGAGAGGAGCAGCAGCCGUGGUAUUCAUGAUAGACAUGGUGACAGGCACUGCGAUAGACGUGGCAGCCAGGAAAGGUACAGAGAUGAUAGGAUAGAUAGAGACAAAAUUGAUUCACUAGAAGCUACUCGUAGGCACAGAGAAAGAAGCAGGAGUUAUAGUAGAUCGGAUCUAAGGGAAAGUACGCGUCUUUGUGAUCAAAGCCGGGAGAGGGAAAGACAGAGUGGUAGUUUGAGGCAUAGGGAUCAUGACAGCAAGAGCGAUACAAGUAAAGAUCGGCAUAGAGAAUCUGGCAGGGUUAGCAGUGCACAUGAAAGGGAGAGAGGGAGAGAUGCUAGGGACAGGGAAUGGCACAGGGUCAAGGGAAGUGAAACUCAUAGAGCUAAGGAAGGGCGGGACAAAGUUAGCGAUGGUGAUAGGCACAGGGAUUCAACACGCUCAAAAUAUAGUGUUUCUGAUGGUUACAAAGAGAGGACAAGAUCUGGGGAGAAAGGUAGAGAUGUUGACCAUAAAAACCGAAAGUUUGAAGAAACGAAGGAAAAUUCUCUCAAGGAGGAAGAUGAAGAGGAGUACCAAGAGAAAAUAGAACAGCAGUUAGCAAUGCAGGAGGAAGACGACCCUGAAAAAAUCAAAGAGGAAGCAAGGAGGAGGAAAGAAGCUAUCAUGGCGAAGUACAGACAGCAGCAAUCGCAGAAGCAGGAUAUGGAAUCUAAACCAAGUAGCAAUGAUGAAGAAGUAAGAGCAAUGGAUGGAAAUGAAACUAUAUAUCAGAAAGAUGAUAACGAUAGCGGCUCUACGGGGAAUGACGAAGCUGAAAAUAAGCAUAAUUCUUCAGAGGUAUUUGAUGACAAAACAGACUUUACUGUGGGAAAGUCUCCUGCUCAUAAUGAUGCUUCAACUAGCGCGGGAGCAUUCACUGAUGAGAGGACAAUAGGUGUUUCAGGUCUUGGAGAGGGUUCUCCCAAGAGCGAGAGAUCAGCAGACAUGUUUUGUGAUGACAUUUUCGGAGAAUCACCUGCAGGAAUUAGAAAAUCAGGCAAGGAUGAUGGUUUGCAUAUUGAGAGAAAUGCUCUUCAUGACAACUGGGAUGAUGCAGAUGGGUACUACACUUACCGGUUCGGAGAAUUGCUGGAUGGCCGUUAUGAAAUCAUAGCAGCACAUGGGAAGGGUGUGUUCUCAACAGUUGUGCGGGCAAAAGAUCUUAAAGCGAGUAAAGAUGAUCCUGAAGAAGUUGCUAUCAAAAUUAUUCGCAACAAUGAGACAAUGUACAAGGCUGGUAAGCAAGAGGUUUCAAUAUUGGAAAAACUUGCAAGUGCGGACCGCGAGGACAAACGUCAUUGCGUGCGGUUUAUUUCUAGUUUCAUGUACCGGAACCAUCUUUGCUUAGUUUUUGAAUCUCUCAAUAUGAAUCUUCGUGAGGUUUUAAAGAAAUUUGGUCGUAAUAUUGGGCUUAAACUGACUGCGGUGAGGGCAUAUUCAAAGCAGCUUUUCAUCGCCCUGAAGCACCUGAAGAACUGCAAAGUUUUGCACUGUGAUAUAAAACCGGAUAAUAUGCUGGUGAAUGAGGCUAAGAAUGUGCUCAAGCUAUGUGAUUUUGGCAAUGCUAUGCUUGCUGGUAUGAAUGAAGUUACACCUUAUCUUGUCAGCCGUUUCUAUCGGGCACCUGAAAUCAUUCUUGGGUUAGCCUAUGACCACCCUUUAGACAUGUGGUCAGUUGGCUGCUGUCUAUAUGAGCUUUAUACCGGGAAAGUCUUAUUUCCUGGUGCAUCAAACAAUGCCAUGCUUCGGCUUCAUAUGGAACUGAAGGGUCCAUUCCCUAAGAAGAUGCUUCGAAAGGGUGCCUUUACAAUGCAACACUUCGAUCAAGAUCUCAAUUUUCAUGCUACCGAGGAGGAUCCUGUGACAAAAACGGCUGUGAGAAGGUUAAUUUUGAACAUUAAGCCAAAGGAUGUUGGUUCUUUGAUUUCAAACUCUCCUGGCGAGGAUCCAAAAAUGCUAUCCAGUUUUAAAGAUCUUCUUGAGAAAAUAUUUAUCUUAGAUCCAGAAAAGAGGAUAACCGUAUCACAAGCACUUAGCCAUCCAUUUAUCACUGGCAAGUGACAUAAGAUGCUGAUUCCUCUUGACAUUGAACUUAGCAUCUACACUGUAAAAUACAAUUUGGGUUCCUCUUGUCUAAUCAUCGACGUUUCUGUCUUGUGUCCUGUGAGCUCUGAGAACAAGUACAUGGAUGAAGCAUGGAACUAUGGAAGAGAUGGAUAUCUGCAGACCUUGUUGCAUGCACUUAUCAUUUGGAUAUAUUCUGUUGCUUGAUUCUGCCAGGGCCUCUGCUGUGUGCACAUUUUAUAUGCUUAAGGGCCAACAUAAGAAGGUCCUGGGAUGGAGAUCGCCGGACCCUCUACUCACUCUCCAUGGUAAAUUCUUUCGACCCUGGAUGUCUUCCAUUUUUUUUUUGUUAUUAUAGAGUUAUCACCUAAUAGUUAGUAAUGGGUUGGUACAUUAGCGCUGAUUUAGUUUUUCAAUGUUAGCAACCCUUUUCUGUUUAUUAGGUGUAUUUCUAAUAUUUUUUUUGCAUUUUGUUAAGUAAUUUCUUUUUGUCAGUUUCAUCAAACAUUGAUCUUCCAAACAAUUUGUUUGUCUUUUGUGUGUCCACCAAACUUUUCCAUAUUAAUGGGUUCUGAAAUUCAAGUACUAUAAUACUUUACUAUGGAAGAUGUCUUCUCUAUCAUGUAACGAAGUGUGUGAAACAUGAGAAACAUUUUUGUCUUAUGUAACAAUGUGGGAGCUGAUUAUUACAUUGACUGCUAGUUAUAGAACCGUGGGCUUAUUACUUUUAUGUUGUAUCUAGAUCUGCCACAUGUAGAUAUACGCUGGUUGGAUUAACCUUGUUAUCUGAAAGCCGAAAGUCUACUGUGUAAUUAGUUAUCAAGUUAGGAUUAUUUUUCCUGUCUCAAACACAUGCACGAGGGUACAGGGAAAAGAAAUCCCAACUUAGCCCCCCCCCCCCUUCCUCCUUCAGUCUCUAAGCACGCAGGACCUGGAAUGCUCUCAGCCUGUUAGCAGCGUGGAAUGCUCUCAUUUGUGAUUGCCUGCAGCACUGCCAUACCUUGCAACGGCGCUGUUAAAAACACAUCAUUCCAAUGUUUCUAGAUCUCUCAACCCACCAAGAUAGUGAAUUCAGGCCUUUCCUGCUAUUAUUUGGCACUUACUUGGCACACUAACUGAUUUGUUUAGCCCCUAGGAGCGCAGGCCCAUGCAUUUGGAUCAUUGUGCAAUUAGUAAUUAUAUGCUGAGAUACUGUUCAUUGGUGGUUAACUUGUGCCAAUAUAAUAAGUUGCCUUUAAUAAACUAUAAGAAACAGGGCUAGUGGGAUAAUACUUGGGGCUAUACACAACAUGCUUGAUUACAGUGUGUGUUGGUGUGAGAGAAAAGAGCUUGUGCUGUUUCGCUUGUAUGCUGGUUCAGACAUCCAGUGAUGGUAUGUUCUUGCAAUUUUUAAAUAUAAUGUGCUAUGCUAGUUACUGUCAGUACUAGGUAAAGACAUUUAGGAAAGAUCAUCAUACUAUAGGUGUUGGUGAUUACCAUGUCACUGGAUAAUUAAUCUGUCUAUAAUUUUAGUUCACCUGCUUUUUGCUGAAAUCUGUUGUGAAGCUGGCCGAUUCAUGUCCCAGCUGUAAUUUUGGUUGACUGUCUUGUAUUUUGUACUAUCUCAUCUGGAUAUUUUUUAUACUUACAAUCAACAUAAGUUUUGCUCCUAGCCAAGAGCAGAUGACUUCUCCAUGGGAAACAAAAUAGAACAAAAACAUAUUGGUGAUGUGUGUUGUUCUUGCAUAACUGCUAUAUCAGUUAUGUUAGAUGCAAAAAAUGCACCUGAGUUGUUACCAGUCUGAAUGAGGUGGCAUCGUCCUCUUUUUCUACCUUAAGUCUUUAGUCUUUUGUUCAAUGACCCGUGCUUGAUACAUAGAGUUGAUCGAGGAAAACAUUAGUAACAUCCUUGCUCACAUACUGCUGAAGCGUCGUGUCUGUCUCUUGUAUGACAUUUGUUUGCUCCCUUCAUUUUUUUUUUGAACACGGUUCAAAAGUGCACAAAGAAAAAAUGACCAAACAGAACACCUGAACAUGGUGCACUCAGAAAAGUGCACAAGCCGCACUAGAAACCUGCACCCACGAAGCACUUAUAUAUAACAAAAGCGCCAAUCAAUAGAAAAGGACAACCAAACAGGCCCAUGGCUAAGUUCCUGAGCUCCCUGACCCUGGAAGUGCCACAGUAAUUUCCUACUUCGAUAUUCCUUCUAUCUGUAUUAGUUGUUUCUUUAUGAGGGUUUCUAGUGGUCGGCAACGUAUCAUAUGCAACCCAGCUUCGUGUGCAACCUAUGCAACCACCAAUUAAGGUCACAAGAUUUAGAUCCAACGUCUGAGGUUUUUUUCACUUAAACCCCUCCACCUGUGGGUUUAAAUCUAACCCGUGUGUAUCCAGAUGGGAGGGUUUAAGUGAAAAAAAACUUCAGACGUUGGAUCUAGAUCCUGUGGCUUUAAUUGGUGGUUGCAUAGGUUGCACAUGAUACGUUCCCCUAGUGGCCUGCCUCUGGUAAUUAUAGGAAAGAUAUUGGAAUGCCUGUCUUGAAGUAGUCUGAACGAUUGAUUUCUCUAAUGGUAUAAAUACGGGCCACAGAAUGUCUAUGAUAUUUGGGAUCUGGUUGUUAUGACUACAUAGCAAACAUCUGCCUGACAUUUCUGACAUGUGUGGUUAACCUGCAAAGUUCGGCUUAGGGCUUGGAGAUUUUUGGUCGUUUUUUCAUGUUCUUGUUGUGGUGAUUAGGUAAAUCCAAAGUACAGUGUGUGUGAGCGUGUGUGAGUUGUGGGGUGUGUGUGUGGGUGUUGGGUCUCUUGGACCUGUGUACCUGUUUUCUACCUUAAUGAAAUGACGCGCAGUUCUCCUGCGCUGUUCGAGAAAAAAAAACCUGCAAAGUUCGGCAUCCAACCCAACUUGCCUAAUUGCCUUCUUUUCCAUAUUUCAUUGUGGGUUUUGCAACAUUAUGUUACAAAAUUGUGGGCAAGCACGAAUCUCAAGUCACUACCUUCUUUAUUGUUUAUUAGCCUCUCAGGCUGUAUAAAUAACACAUUCUGAAGUGCUUGUAGCCUAGUACACUUGCGGUUCUACAAAUAUUCUACCAUCAGUUAAUUGGGAGCACAAAAAUAUAUUGUUUGCUAGUGGUGCUGUAUUCUGCCUUGAUAUUUUGUGAACUAUGCAGUAAUGGAAAACCACAAGCCGAAGCAUGGUUAAAAAAAGUAUAACUAAGCAACAGUAAUUAAGCAAAACUGUUCAGCACUAACUAAAAACUCACAAACAUUUUCUCUCUUUUUAGUCAGUUGACCUCUGCUGCUCAUACAUUUUGUUGUAAUGUGCAUGAUAUAUUUUUUUCAGUCCAUGUGACAAUUUUGCCCUUUCAUGUCUGUUGAUAAACAGUUUGUCCAUUAGUGGCACGCAAGAUUUUAAUAUUUCAUGCCAAAAUUUGUGCUGCUAAUGUUUUGCCAGUGGAACUGGCAAUUUGUUUCUUGAUGCGUGCGCACUAUAAUACUAUAUUUGGUUCAAAUUAGAUGGUAGCUUUUUUUUUUCAUGUUCUACAACUUCUGAGCAAUUCUUGCUCAUUUCUCUGAUAUAUUUGCAUGAAUUCAUCUCCCAUGAAGGGAUUAAAUGAGGUUGAUAUGUAAAUUUUGUCGGCCUUAGUGUAGUGCAUUGGUGAGGCUAUUGAAUUUGCUCUUGUAUUUGUCGAUUGGCUGUAAGGUUGGUUUAGCAGAAAGCGUGUUCCAUUCGUGUAUGCAUUGUAUUUGUAUAUUGGAACAAAAUGUAAUGGUAUAGUCUAUCGUGUGUUUAGGGUGAAUACAUUUUAUGCUUGUAACGCAAGUGAGAUUUGUUUU